CCCCAGAACAACACCAAAGCAGAAAAUACUCCUUUCUGUUUGAAAGAGCUCAAGUGAGCUCCCUUCGCCGGGCUGUUUCUUCGCCGACCGGCCACUAGGCUCUGAACCGAGAACGUGUACUCGUUCCUCCAUCUUCAGGCUACCAAACCCAACAAUCGAAAGGCCGAAGCCUUCUCUAUAUUUUCCUGACCAAAGGCCGCAAUAUCCUUCGGCGGCCAACGUCGAAUUCCCGACUUAGCCACCGGCCAACUUACGGCUUUCGUUUCUCACUAUCCUUACGACGAAAAAGGAUCGAGAAACCACCGUUGUGUAGCCUGAUCUACCUCGCACGAGGAAAACUAAGUCGUAGACCUUCGCGGCUAAACACCAUCGCGGAACGACGACCGGAAAACCCCCGACGAACAACUUCCAUUAGUGCUCACUUGGACAAGGGUUCAAAUAAACAAAAGCGUCUGAGUAACCUAUCGCGCUAAGGAAAGAGAAUCAUUGUCUUAAGUAGCAAAACACUGCAAUCAGGUUGAGCUGAUGUGAUGAUGGUGCUGCAAUGAGCGGAGUCUCCAGGGUUGUUAAUAAAUAGUUAACCUGUCUAGAAUAUGUCUUCAUACAUAUGUCUAGCUACUUUCCGCUGCAAGAUGUUGUUGAUGUUAUAGUAUGUUACGUCAUACUUUGAGUCUUAAGAGAAUGGUUUCAUAUGAUGUAUAACUUGAUUAAUGAUAUUAAUUAAGUUUUAUGCUGUCUUUCAUAGACUAUUUUCAAUUGAGUAUUCAUGAAUAAAAAUGACGAGUUUUAUUAAGAUGAGUAAGUGUUACGGCUAUAAAUGACGCCCCUUUUCUUCCCCUUCUUCUUUAACCCCAUCCCUAGUCGUAGAUCACUCGG
This is a long non-coding RNA of Salvia miltiorrhiza (redroot sage), 876 nucleotides long. RefSeq lists it as uncharacterized. The record is from RefSeq and is a predicted model, not a curated record. Lineage: Eukaryota; Viridiplantae; Streptophyta; Magnoliopsida; Lamiales; Lamiaceae. The transcript has 3 exons.